CAGCCGCCGCGGGAAUACGUAGGGUGCAAGCGUUAAUCGGAAUUACUGGGCGUAAGGCGUGCGCAGGCGGUUUUGUAAGACAGAGGUGAAAUCCCCGGGCUCAACCUGGGAACUGCCUUUGUGACUGCAAGGCUGGAGUGCGGCAGAGGGGGAUGGAAUUCCGCGUGUAGCAGUGAAAUGCGUAGAUAUGCGGAGGAACACCGAUGGCGAAGGCAAUCCCCUGGGCCUGCACUGACGCUCAUGCACGAAAGCGUGGGGAGCAAACAGGAUUAGAGACCCCUGUAGUCCCUGUCUCUUAUAC
RNAcentral lists this ribosomal RNA (301 nucleotides) under uncultured bacterium. Its description in RNAcentral is "partial 16S ribosomal RNA". It matches the Rfam family "Bacterial small subunit ribosomal RNA", at positions 509 to 807 of the family's 1533-position model. The record is from RNAcentral.